GCCUGCUUAGCAUAGUGGCUAAUGCGUUGCACUUGUAUCCAUUCGACGACAUGCAAAGAUCACAGGUUCGAUUCCUGUAGUAGGCA
Molecule: transfer RNA, 86 nt
Filed under: Madurella mycetomatis
Lineage: Eukaryota; Fungi; Ascomycota; Sordariomycetes; Sordariales
Rfam family: tRNA
About the family: Transfer RNA (tRNA) molecules are approximately 80 nucleotides in length. Their secondary structure includes four short double-helical elements and three loops (D, anti-codon, and T loops).
Source: Rfam by way of RNAcentral